Megalops atlanticus (tarpon) is the source of this 73-nucleotide non-coding RNA. The record is from the annotation of a GenBank genome assembly. NCBI's taxonomy places the organism in Eukaryota, Metazoa, Chordata, Actinopteri, Elopiformes, Megalopidae.
GCCUGUGGUCAUGUAGUGGUAAAGAGCAGGGCUCACAACCCAGAGGUUGCUGGUUCAAUUCCCGGCUGGGGCA